RNAcentral lists this long non-coding RNA (1683 nucleotides) under Olea europaea subsp. europaea. The record is from RNAcentral. Lineage: Eukaryota; Viridiplantae; Streptophyta; Magnoliopsida; Lamiales; Oleaceae.
CUAAUACAUUCUCCAUUGUGACAAGAUUUUUGAUAUCUUAAUCAAUAUUGUCAGACAACAUAUGUAGUAUUUCGUUUGAUACGUCGACAAAUUUCAUGACCAUUUCAUUGCAAAUUGUUUGUAAACAGAUUAGCAAGCUGUUCGGGAUCUUUUUUACUCCCAAUUUUACAAAAAUACCCCAAAUUCCAAAUUUUCUAUAUUCUAUCACACUUGUACCAAGACAACACAUUGCUUCUUGCUCAUAAUUAUCAAACUAGAGACUCCACUAUAAUUAAAACAUAUUAUCAAGUUAGAUUGAAUUAUUCGAUUUCGACUAUUACAAUCAAGAACCAUACUAGACUAGACAAUUUUUUGAUUUAAAAGAACUGAAACAGACUUAAAUUUAGUUCAUGUUUGUUUCCCACUUGUCCUGCAUAAAAAUAAGUUUUUUUAACUGUUGGAAGUCUGCAACUCACCCACAAUGUGAGAGGCCAGUCAAAAAAAGGGUCGGACGGGGUCCAUUAACAGUCUAAUUUCUUCUAAAAAUGAGAAACAAAUGAUAAAUAAACAGAGGCUUAAACAAAUCGAAUCAGAUCGGCUGGCUGAGCUCAAUCUCUUGUGAUCUAUAUUGCCCAAUGCUAACUCUAGCCAAACCCAUGCUGAAAACGAAGGACAAGAGUCAUGAAAAAUGAGAGAAAAACCAAAAGGGUCAGAAUGCGAAAGUGUUGGUGUGAGUAAUGUUGAAUUAUGUGAAAAGUGAAUGGAAACAACUAUUUAUGAAAAAAUAGUGGAAGAGGUUUUCAAUAUUUGAUUAGUGUAGCACUUAGAUACUUAAAUCCUCAAACUUCAAAACAUAACAUUUAAAACCUCGUCAAUAUUUCAAUUUGGUAGUAGCGAAGUCAUAUAUCUAACUUGUGAUUAUGCCCUGUGACGAUGACUUCUAGAAUAUGCUUGUCCUUUUUUCUAAAAGACGUGUAUUUUUGGAUAGGAUUUACCAAGACCAAUCACAUUUAUUGACCAAUAUUUCUCGGUAGUUGUGUAUUUUUAGACACAACUUUUCAACUAUUAUAAAUUGACCCGGUAUUCCGGCCUAAUCGAUUCAAUUCUUUGACCUUGCUUCCACUUUCAUUUUGCCCUGCAUUCUUAAGGCAAAUCAUCUUAUGAACAAAAAGUCGAACUUUAAACUUGAUCUACCAUUUUCUAAUUUCUGCUUAUUACUUCUCAAGUAAGUACUCUGCAUAUUUUUAGUUUAUGUUGGUGUUCUACGCCUUUAAUAAUAAAAUCUCGUUUGUCCGAUCUAUAUUAAGUGGAUUAACACGAUCUUUUUAUCCGUUCAAAGUAAAAUCACUAGAUGAUCCAGAAAUUAAAACAAAAAAGGGUGAACUACCAGAGCUUGGCAGGAUCAAAUAGUCUCAAGAAAAGUAAUCCACACUCAUAAAUUAUCUCAUGUUCGUGAAGAAAAUAAAAUUUAAAACAGUAAUGUUGAUUAUAUUAAGCAGAAUUACCUUUGUCUUGGAUAAAAAUGUAGCUAGGUAGCCCGACCAGUUGAAAGUCAAUGAAGGAGGUGGAGUAAUGAAGAUGUUUGUUGAUGAUCAUCUAAUUAUUCCACAAAUGCUGCAUACAAAGUGCAGGAUUGAUUAGAUGACCAUCAACAAAACAUGUUCAGAGCACCACUGAUUAAUACACAGUUUGCCUUGAGCUUUA